GAGAGCACAACAUUAUUUCAUAAGCCAGCUUGGCAGCCUGAGGUAAAGGUGAGAGUGGUUUUCCUCCAAGGUGAAGGCAGUACUUUCUCACCUUAAAUGCAUGUAAUAGAUUUCAUCAGAAACUGUGGUUGUUCAUAGGAGAGCGCUCUUCAGCCAGCAAGAGGAUAACCCUGAUUUCAGGUAUAGAGUCAUUUCCAGGAAGCAUACUAAACAUAUGCAUGGAGAAAAAAGGAGUCAUCUGUGGUGCCGGGGAAGGCUUCACAUUAUGUGCUGAGCAAUACUCAAUUAAUGAUGAUUCUGAUGUUUUUGCAUGAUUCCUCCCAUAUUAAUAAAAACCAGCUAUUCAAAGGAUCCCUUUGUCUCAAGAGGACUAGAAAGGAAUCUUUCACAAAGAUUUUCUCUCAGUUGUGGUAUUGCUGAUGUCAAGCAUGCAGAAAUCAUGAGUCAGCACUCCAAAAGUCACAAGAUUUUAUUAAAAAAAUAUCCUUUAAAAUAUAUAUGUGGCACUUUUUGGAGCCUUCAUGUUAAAUGUAUGACAUUCUAAUAUUUUCAUCUGCAACUGGAAAAUAUAUUUGUUGGAACAGAAGUAGAAAAAAGAAGAAACAGAUGAGCUUUUAAACAAUUUGCACAACUCCCCAGAGCUGGGUUUGAAGCAAGUUUGGAGCAUUGCAAACAUUGCAACGUAAUUGCAGGUGUUGGCAACAUGGCAAUUAUUUGUGAGAACUUUGAUCUAAAUUGAGGUCAAUAAAAACAAAUGAAAAAACUGACUGAAAGAAAACCAAAUAAACUUUCCUUCACGUUUCUGAAACUUGGGCUUCUGUAAUACCAUUUGUUCUGCAGUUCUCCAAG
This is a long non-coding RNA of Cygnus olor (mute swan), 849 nucleotides long. RefSeq lists it as uncharacterized. Lineage: Eukaryota; Metazoa; Chordata; Aves; Anseriformes; Anatidae. The record is from RefSeq and is a predicted model, not a curated record. The transcript has 4 exons.